Molecule: ribosomal RNA, 253 nt
Filed under: uncultured bacterium
Lineage: Bacteria
Description: partial 16S ribosomal RNA
Rfam family: Bacterial small subunit ribosomal RNA
Source: RNAcentral
UACGUAGGGAGCAAGCGUUGUCCGGAAUCAUUGGGCGUAAAGCGCGCGUAGGCGGCCUUGUAAGUCCGUUGUGAAAGUCAAAGGCUCAACCUUUGAAAGCCGAUGGAUACUGCAGGGCUAGAGUCCGGAAGAGGCGAGUGGAAUUCCUGGUGUAGCGGUGGAAUGCGCAGAUAUCAGGAGGAACACCAAUAGCGAAGGCAGCUCGCUGGGACGGUACUGACGCUAAGGCGCGAAAGCGUGGGGAGCGAACAGG